GCAUAUCAAUAAGCGGAGGAAAAGAAACCAACAGGGAUUGCCCUAGUAACGGCGAGUGAAGCGGCAACAGCUCAAAUUUGAAAUCUGGCUCUUUUAGAGUCCGAGUUGUAAUUUGCAGAGGGCGCUUUGGCGUUGGCAGCGGUUCAAGUUCCUUGGAACAGGACGUCACAGAGGGUGAGAAUCCCGUACGUGGUCGCUAGCCUUCGCCGUGUAAAGCCUCUUCGACGAGUCGAGUUGUUUGGGAAUGCAGCUCUAAAUGGGAGGUAAAUUUCUUCUAAAGCUAAAUACUGGCCAGAGACCGAUAGCGCACAAGUAGAGUGAUCGAAAGAUGAAAAGCACUUUGGAAAGAGAGUCAAAUAGCACGUGAAAUUGUUAAAAGGGAAGCGCUUGCAGCCAGACUUGCCCGUAGUUGCUCAUCCAGGCUUUUGCCUGGUGCACUCUUCUAUGGGCAGGCCAGCAUCAGUUUGGGCGGUUGGAUAAAGGUCUCUGUCAUGUACCUCCUUUCGGGGAGGCCUUAUAGGGGAGACGACAUGCAACCAGCCUGGACUGAGGUCCGCGCAUUUAUGCUAGGAUGCUGGCGUAAUGGCUGUAAGCGGCCCGUCUUGAAACACGGACCAAGGAGUCUAACAUCUAUGCGAGUGUUUGGGUGUCAAGCCCGAACGCGCAAUGAAAGUGAACGGAGGUGGGAACCCUUAAGGGUGCACCAUCGACCGAUCCUGAUGUCUUCGGAAGGAUUUGAGUAAGAGCAUAGCUGUUGGGACCCGAAAGAUGGUGAACUAUGCUUGAAUAGGGUGAAGCCAGAGGAAACUCUGGUGGAGGCUCGCAGCGGUUCUGACGUGCAAAUCGAUCGUCAAAUUUGGGCAUAGGGGCGAAAGACUAAUCGAACUAUCUAGUAGCUGGUUCCUGCGA
Molecule: ribosomal RNA, 909 nt
Filed under: Plenodomus meliloti
Lineage: Eukaryota; Fungi; Ascomycota; Dothideomycetes; Pleosporales; Leptosphaeriaceae
Description: LSU rRNA
Rfam family: Eukaryotic large subunit ribosomal RNA
Source: RNAcentral